GGGGGCGCAUUGGCUUCGACGUGGACGAAGAAGCCAAGGUUGCAGGUCGAGGCGCCGCUGGCCUCGUAAAAAGCGGCAACAAUGUAAUUGCAAACAAUAACGAUUACGCUUACUCUUACGCUGCUUAAUUGACGCGAUAGAGUAAACACUGAUCUCCUCGGAGGUCACGUCUAACCGGUAGAUGCCUAAUAUAUCGGUGCGGCGCAAAAUUAUUGGGCUGGCAGUACUUUUUGUCUUACGGGAGUGCUGUGAGAACUUACAUAGGGCUAACUAAACACAACCUGUUCAAGGGUCAAGUGUUUGGUGAUAUUAUACUUGAACUAAACCUGUAGAAGCUUUGUGUGGACCGUUUGCGGACGGGGGUUCAAUUCCCCCCGCCUCCACCA
Molecule: transfer-messenger RNA, 386 nt
Filed under: uncultured Mailhella sp.
Lineage: Bacteria; Pseudomonadati; Thermodesulfobacteriota; Desulfovibrionia; Desulfovibrionales; Desulfovibrionaceae
Rfam family: transfer-messenger RNA
About the family: Bacterial tmRNA, also known as 10Sa RNA or SsrA, is named for its dual tRNA and mRNA-like properties. Its role is to liberate the mRNA from a stalled ribosome.
Source: RNAcentral